This 429-nucleotide ribosomal RNA is filed under the name Bacillota bacterium. RNAcentral's name for it is "Firmicutes bacterium partial 16S ribosomal RNA". It matches the Rfam family "Bacterial small subunit ribosomal RNA", at positions 355 to 776 of the family's 1533-position model. The record is from RNAcentral. Lineage: Bacteria; Bacillati; Bacillota.
UGGGGAAUCUUGCGCAAUGCACGAAAGUGUGACGCAGCAACGCCGCGUGGGGGAAGAAGGCCUUCGGGUUGUAAACCCCUUUCAGGAGGGACGAAGCCUGGCUGGUGAAUAGCCUGUCCAGGUGACGGUACCUCCACAAGAAGCCCCGGCUAACUACGUGCCAGCAGCCGCGGUAAUACGUAGGGGGCAAGCGUUGUCCGGAAUCAUUGGGCGUAAAGAGCGUGUAGGCGGUCCGGUAAGUCGGUUGUGAAAGUCGGGGGCUCAACCCUCGGAGGCCGACCGAUACUGUCGGGCUAGAGUCCGGAAGAGGCGAGUGGAAUUCCUGGUGUAGCGGUGAAAUGCGCAGAUAUCAGGAGGAACACCAAUGGCGAAGGCAGCUCGCUGGGACGGUACUGACGCUGAGACGCGAAAGCGUGGGGAGCAAACAGG